Long non-coding RNA from Actinia tenebrosa (Australian red waratah sea anemone), 624 nucleotides. The record is from RefSeq and is a predicted model, not a curated record. Lineage: Eukaryota; Metazoa; Cnidaria; Anthozoa; Actiniaria; Actiniidae.
UGUGAGCAAAGCUACUUUGGGUCACAAUUUCCAGUAGUAUUCAUGCCUUAUUUGUUGAGAGAAAGAGAAGACUGAAUAGAUAUAAGCUAGCUUAGAAUGGGUCUUCAUUCAAAGGAGGCGAGGAAACAUUACAACAAGAAAAGAAAUCAAAUGUGACUAAAAAAAGGAGCCUGCCAGCAUUAACGAAUUACCCCUCAUUUCUGAAUCAGAUCCAAACCUGAAUGAUGAGGCAGAGACUGAUGCUAUACAUGUAACUCAAACAGCUCGAAUUCCAUAUAAACCAUAGCAGCUCAAAUUCAACAAACACAAACUGCGCCAAGUCARUUCCCUGCAAUUUCAGAAAGCCAAUCAGCUCUAACACUACUCACCAAGACCUACAAAAUAGAAGAAGAGAACCAAGAAGAGAAUGGAAUUGGAAAUGGUCUUGUACUAUCUUUAUGGUGAAGGCCAACCAUGGUCGACACCGCCUAUGCUACUUUGUAUUGCAAGAAUGCAUAAGUAAAAUGUGCUUGGUUUUUUUAAUUAAUUAUGAAAGAAUUUCAUUUUUGAGAAUUUAUCUGUAAUUGAAAUAAGUAAGGUUUGUAUAAUCAACUGCUCCACAUAUUGAUCAGCCAGCAUUUGUUU